GGUUCGAUCAUGGCUCAGAUUGAACGCUGGCGGGAUGCUUUACACAUGCAAGUCGAACGGCAGCACGGACUUCGGUCUGGUGGCGAGUGGCGAACGGGUGAGUAAUGUAUCGGAACGUGCCUAGUAGCGGGGGAUAACUACGCGAAAGCGUAGCCAAUACCGCAUACGCCCUUCGGGGGAAAGUGGGGACCUUUCGGGCCUCGCACUAUUAGAGCGGCCGAUAUCGGAUUAGCCAUUGGUGGGGUAACGGCUCACCAAGGCACGAUCCGUAGCUGGUUUGAGAGGACGACCAGCCACACUGGGACUGAGACACGGCCCAGACUCCUACGGGAGGCAGCAGGGAAUUUUGACAAUGGGGAAACCCUGAUCCAGCCAUCCUGGCAAAAAAGGAUGAAGGCCUUUGCCAGGUAAGACUUUUGGUAGAAGAAACGGCACGGGAUAAUACCCCGUGCAACUGAUUGGCAGUAAAUUCGUGAAAAUAAGGUCAACAUCAACUACGUGCCAGCAGCCGCGGUAAUACGUAGGGUGCAGCGUUAAUCGGAAUUACUGGCGUAAAGCGUGCGCAGGCGGUUCGGAAAGAAAGAUGUGAACCCAGAGCUUAACUUUGGAACUGCAUUUUUAACUACCGAGCUAGAGUGUGUCAGAGGGGAGGUGGAAUUCCAAGUGUAGCAGUGAAAUGCGUAGAUAUGCGGAGGAACACCGAUGGCGAAGGCAGCCUCCUCUGGGAUAACACUGACGCUCAUGCACGAAAGUGGAGCAAACGAGGAUUAGAUACCCGGUAGUCCACGCCCUAAACGAUGUCAACUAGGCUGUUGGGGCCCGGGGCCUUGUAGCGCAGCUAACGCGUGAAGUUGACCGCCUGGGGAGUACGGUCGCAAGAUUAAACCCAAAGGAAUUGACGGGACCGCACAAGCGUGGAUGAUGUGGAUUAAUUCGAUGCAACGCGAAAACCUUACCUACCCUUGACAUGUCUGGAAUCCCGAAGAGAUUUGGGAGUGCUCGCAAGAGAACCGGAACACAGGUGCCGCAUGGCUGUCGUCAGCUCGUGUCGUGAGAUGUUGGGUUAAGUCCCGCAACGAGCGCAAACUCCUUGUCAUUAGUUGCUACGAAAGGGCACUCUAAUGAGACUGCCGGUGACAAACCGAGGAAGGUGGGGAUGACGUCAAGUCCUCAUGGCCUUUAUGGGUAGGGCUUCACACGUCAUACAAUGGUCGGGACAGAGGGUCGCCAACCCGCGAGGGGAGCCACCCCAGAAACCCGAUCGUAGUCCGGAUCGCAGUCUGCAACUCGACUGAAGCCGGAAUCGCUAGUAAUCGCGGAUCAGCAUGUCGCGGUGAAUACGUUCCCGGGUCUUGUACACACCGCCCGUCACACCGCAGAGUGGGUUUUACCAGAAGUAGUUAGCCUAACCGUAAGGAGGGCGAUUACCACGGUAGGAUUCAUGACUGGGGUGAAGUCGUAACAAGGUAA
Molecule: ribosomal RNA, 1470 nt
Filed under: uncultured Bordetella sp.
Lineage: Bacteria; Pseudomonadati; Pseudomonadota; Betaproteobacteria; Burkholderiales; Alcaligenaceae
Description: partial 16S-23S ribosomal RNA intergenic spacer
Rfam family: Bacterial small subunit ribosomal RNA
Source: RNAcentral